Molecule: ribosomal RNA, 269 nt
Filed under: uncultured prokaryote
Description: partial 16S ribosomal RNA
Rfam family: Bacterial small subunit ribosomal RNA
Source: RNAcentral
UACGGAGGGUGCAAGCGUUAUCCGGAAUCACUGGGCGUAAAGGGCGCGUAGGUGGUCUGUUAAGUCUGGCGUUAAAGCCUGGGGCUCAACCCCAGAUCAGCGUUGGAUACUGGCAGGCUAGACGGUUGGAGAGGCGAGUGGAAUUACCAGUGUAGCGGUGGAAUGCGUAGAUACUGGUAGGAACACCCAUUGCGAAGGCAGCUCGCUGGACAACACGUGACACUGAGGCGCGAAAGUGUGGGGAGCAAACCGGAUUAGAUACCCGUGUA